RNAcentral lists this ribosomal RNA (252 nucleotides) under uncultured bacterium. RNAcentral's name for it is "partial 16S ribosomal RNA". It matches the Rfam family "Bacterial small subunit ribosomal RNA", at positions 524 to 776 of the family's 1533-position model. The record is from RNAcentral.
UACGAAGGGGCUAGCGUUGCUCGGAAUCACUGGGCGUAAAGGGUGCGUAGGCGGGUCUUUAAGUCAGGGGUGAAAUCCUGGAGCUCAACUCCAGAACUGCCUUUGAUACUGAGGAUCUUGAGUUCGGGAGAGGUGAGUGGAACUGCGAGUGUAGAGGUGAAAUUCGUAGAUAUUCGCAAGAACACCAGUGGCGAAGGCGGCUCACUGGCCCGGUACUGACGCUGAGGUGCGAAAGCGUGGGGAGCAAACAGG